This 206-nucleotide ribosomal RNA is filed under the name uncultured bacterium. RNAcentral describes it as "partial 16S ribosomal RNA". It matches the Rfam family "Bacterial small subunit ribosomal RNA", at positions 568 to 774 of the family's 1533-position model. The record is from RNAcentral.
UGUGUAGGCGGAAGCUUAAGCGUUUUGUGAAAUCCCUCGGCUUAACCGAGGAAUUGCUUGACGAACUGGGCUUCUUGAGGCAGGUAGGGGUGCGCAGAACUCUUGGUGGAGCGGUGGAAUGCGUAGAUAUCAAGAGGAAUGCCGGUGGAGAAGUCGGUGCACUGGGCCUGUCCUGACGCUGAGACACGAAAGCGUGGGAGCGAACG